RNAcentral lists this long non-coding RNA (318 nucleotides) under Gallus gallus (chicken). Lineage: Eukaryota; Metazoa; Chordata; Aves; Galliformes; Phasianidae. The record is from RNAcentral.
GGGUCCAGAGGAGGCCACAAAGAUGCUCAGAGGGCCGCAGCACCUCCCCUAAAAAGACAGGCUGAGGGAGCUGGGCUUGUUGAGCCUGGAGAAGAGAAGGCUGUGGGGUGACCUCAGUGCAGCCUUCCAGGACCUAAAGGGAGCCUACAAACAGGAGGGGAGGCAACUCUUUGAGAGGGGAGAUAAGAGCAGGACAAGGGGAAAUGGUGUGAAGUUGAAGGAGGGCAGAUUGAGGUUGGAUGUGAGGGGGAAGUUGUUGACAGAGAGAGUGGGGAGGUGCUGGAACAGCUGCCCAGAGAGGCUGUGGAUGCCCCGUCC